This is a long non-coding RNA of Rhopalosiphum maidis (corn leaf aphid), 643 nucleotides long. RefSeq lists it as uncharacterized. The transcript has 3 exons. Lineage: Eukaryota; Metazoa; Arthropoda; Insecta; Hemiptera; Aphididae. The record is from RefSeq and is a predicted model, not a curated record.
CACACGUCUCAUACGUCGUUGUAUUUUUCUGUGGUAUUACUAUUUACUCAAAGCGUGCACAUGCGUUUUUCCGUUUUUUCCAGUUGUUUUUGUGUUUUAACUGUGCAUGUUGGCCGCCAUCGCUUGAAGUUCUUGAACAUCGUAGUUUUUUAUAACAACGAGUAUAUAUUAAUCGUAAACUUAAGAAGUUUUUUAAUUUUGAGACGCUGAUGGAAUACUCUAUAUAAAGGAUGGUAUCUGCACACAAAUAAAGUAAAAUAAUAUAAACUUACAAUUAUGGAACACAAAGGUCAAAGAGAAUACAGUCAUCCAUACAAAAAUCAUAACUUCAGAAAUAGAUAUGGGACGAAAAAACCAGACAAUAUUAAGAACAAGUAUCAAGAAAAAAUAAUAAAAAAACAUUUCGGAUUCAAACACCUGGAAGAGUUGAGCAACAAAGAAUCUUCGGAUAUUGUAUUUGUAAUAUGUAAUCAAUCUAAUGGUUUUAUAGAUUUAUUUAAACAAAACAAAGAUCCAGACUGGUUAUUUUUACUUAUGAAGAUUACUGCAAAGAUUUGCAAUACCGAUUUUUUGGUGAGCAAGCAGUCUAUAUUAAUUGAAAUAUGUUGGAACUCAAUAUUUAUUGAUCAUUUGAAGUCGUACA